Molecule: unclassified non-coding RNA, 328 nt
Filed under: soil metagenome
Description: partial contains 5.8S ribosomal RNA, internal transcribed spacer 2, and large subunit ribosomal RNA
Rfam family: 5.8S ribosomal RNA (bases 1-120)
Source: RNAcentral
GAUGAAGAACGUAGUGAAAUGCGAUAAGUAAUGUGAAUUGCAGAAUUCAGUGAAUCAUCGAAUCUUUGAACGCACAUUGCGCCCCCUGGUAUUCCGGGGGGCAUGCCUGUUCGAGCGUCAUUUCACCACUCAAGCCUCGCUUGGUAUUGGGCAACGCGGUCCGCCGCGUGCCUCAAAUCGACCGGCUGGGUCUUCUGUCCCCUAAGCGUUGUGGAAACUAUUCGCUAAAGGGUGUUCGGGAGGCUACGCCGUAAAACAACCCCAUUUCUAAGGUUGACCUCGGAUCAGGUAGGGAUACCCGCUGAACUUAAGCAUAUCAAUAAGCGGA